GACGAACGCUGGCGGCGUGCUUAACACAUGCAAGUCGAACGGAAAGGCCCUGCUUUUGUGGGGUGCUCGAGUGGCGAACGGGUGAGUAACACGUGUGUAACCUGCCCUUGACUUUGGGAUAACUUCAGGAAAAAGGGGCUAAUACCGGCUAGGAGCUCCUGCUGCACGGGGGGGGUAGGCUAAUUUCGGCGGUUUGGGCUGGACUCGCGGCUUACCAGCUUGAUGGGGGGGUAGUGGCUUUCCAAGCCUUUGACGGGUAGCCGGCAUGGGAGGGUGGACGCCCACAAUGGGACUACGGGACGCCGCAGACUCCAACGGUAGGCAGCGGUGGGGAAUCUGGCACAAUGAGCCGACGCGUGAUACGGCAGCGCCCCGUGCGUGAUGCCCUCCUUCGGGUUGUAAACCGAUUUCGCCUGAGACGAAGCGUGAGUGACGGUAAUGGGUAAAGAAGCACCGGCUAACUACGUG
This 468-nucleotide ribosomal RNA is filed under the name uncultured bacterium. RNAcentral describes it as "partial 16S ribosomal RNA". It matches the Rfam family "Bacterial small subunit ribosomal RNA", at positions 28 to 507 of the family's 1533-position model. The record is from RNAcentral.